Molecule: unclassified non-coding RNA, 349 nt
Filed under: soil metagenome
Description: partial contains 5.8S ribosomal RNA, internal transcribed spacer 2, and large subunit ribosomal RNA
Rfam family: 5.8S ribosomal RNA (bases 1-121)
Source: RNAcentral
GAUGAAGGAACGCAGCGAAAUGCGAUAAGUAGUGUGAAUUGCAGAAUUCAGUGAAUCAUCGAAUCUUUGAACGCACAUUGCGCCCUUUGGUAUUCCUUAGGGCAUGCCUGUUCGAGCGUCAUUUAACCCCUCAAGCUCAGCUUGGUGUUGGGCGUCCUGUCCCGCUCGUCCCCCUCGUUGGGGCGGGGACUCGCCUCAAAUCGAUUGGCGGCCGGUACGUUGGCUUCGAGCGCAGCAGAAACGCGAACUCGAUGCCCGGCGACCCGGCUCCCACAAGCCACACAUCUAAUUUUGACCUCGGAUCAGGUAGGGAUACCCGCUGAACUUAAGCAUAUCAAUAAGCGGAGGA